AUUGAACGCUGGCGGCAUGCCUUACACAUGCAAGUCGAACGGUAACGCGGGGCAACCUGGCGACGAGUGGCGAACGGGUGAGUAAUGCAUCGGAACGUGCCCAGUAGUGGGGGAUAGCCCGGCGAAAGCCGGAUUAAUACCGCAUACGACCUACGGGUGAAAGCGGGGGACCGUAAGGCCUCGCGCUAUUGGAGCGGCCGAUGUCAGAUUAGGUAGUUGGUGGGGUAAAGGCCUACCAAGCCUACGAUCUGUAGCUGGUCUGAGAGGACGACCAGCCACACUGGGACUGAGACACGGCCCAGACUCCUACGGGAGGCAGCAGUGGGGAAUUUUGGACAAUGGGCGCAAGCCUGAUCCAGCCAUGCCGCGUGCGGGAAGAAGGCCUCGGUUGU
This 392-nucleotide ribosomal RNA is filed under the name uncultured bacterium. RNAcentral describes it as "bacterial SSU rRNA". It matches the Rfam family "Bacterial small subunit ribosomal RNA", at positions 29 to 426 of the family's 1533-position model. The record is from RNAcentral.